CCAGGACUGUUCUGAUGGUUUGGAACGGCUAGUCCAGAUGCACCAUGGCCGCGUUCCCUUUCCUCCAGUCAUGCCUGCCAUUCCAUGGCACAAAGUACAUGUUCAAAGAUAUUACACUAACUCUACCAGGGGUUUUUAGCUCCAUUUGCAGCCAGCUGGAAAACUGACACCCACCCUUGUGAAAAUGUACUCCAUGAUGUCUACAUCCAUGGUCAGAGGAAAGGGCAGAAAAAAUGUUCAGGAAUUGAAAAAUAUGUUAUUUUUCUUAGCUCUGGUUCAUUUUUUAAAAAGAAUUAUAGCCUAAGGGGAAAGGAAAUAAUGCAGAGAGGUCAGAUAUGCUUUGUAUGUUUUGACAAACAUUGCAACUACCCAUUUUCCAUGGGUCUAAUUUCAUCUUCUUGCAUCUACUGACAUAAAAUGUCAACACAAGAAUGUAAGGCUAGAGCUCAGUUUAAAAUAACAGAGUUAGCUAUGACAGAAAAAUUGUUAAUGGGUUGACUUCAGGCAAUUUUUCAAAAGAAAAAGGUAAGUUUAUAGUAUCAAUUUCUAUAUUAAAAUAAUAGGAAAAUCUCUUAGCUCAUGCCUAUACAUUAUGAAACACCAGGCCAUUAUAAGGCUUACUGUCAUGCACACUUUGACUAAUGUUUCUUCAGUGUAUCUAUGGCUAAUAUCCUUACUCUGAGAGCAUACAUUUCUUUAGAGCCUGAUCGCUUAACUUUCUCUCAUGGUGGUGAUCGCAUUGGCAGACAAACCCAUCAAAGUAUCUGGAAAGUCUGCAUAAGUAAACUGUUGUCAUCACAAUGGAUGAAUAAUGGGACACUUGCUCUGUUCAGUUACAGAAUGUCAGAGACUCUUAGCUAUCUCUAUCUGUCCUAGAGGCAUGUUAAGGCCUCUUUUAUACUACAAAACAUUUCCAGAAAAACUUUGAGGGCAUCUACACCCAAAGUUCUUCUACAGCAGCAAAACCCUCCAGUUACGCCAUCUUUGCCAAGUGGAGGAGGGCCUCUACCAGCUGCCACUGUCCCUUCAGCAGCUGGUACCUUCCCAGAAUGCACUUUAUGCUCUGGCAGCAUAGCUGCUGAGUAGAGCCAUGCAAAGGCUCAGAAAUGCAUGAAUGUGUACGUGGCUGGGUAGUGGUAGUUGCUUUGUGGCAGCAGUUAGUUGUAGACAAGUCCUAUGACCAGAAAACGAAACAGAAUAUUUAGUUCUCUCCACUGUUAGGUUAUGUAAAGAGCAGUGUAUCGGAUAGUUACCCUUCAAUUUUCCUAGGUGUUACUGUUUCAGGUCUUCUCUCUAAAUGCCUAAGACAGACAGUAUUUUCAAAGAUGCCUGGGGACAUAAUUACAGGAAUCCCAGUAAAGCCAAUGGGAGAUGUAAUCUUUUGAAAAUCCAAGGUUUCUCUUUAUAAAGUUGUAUUGCCAUUGUCAACAAAAUGUCAGGCUUGUCUCUAGAAGCUGGAAAGCAAUCAUAUUAUGACUAGAAACAGGGUUGUACUUAUUCCAAAAGGAACUGGUAUCAUAAAUGUUUCUUGAGCUACCUUUCACCAUUUGAUCUUCCUGUAUGAAAUGUAUCAUUCCUCCUUCCUUAGUUAUGUUUUUGCUUCUGAACUUAAUGCAUGGUAGAGCUACUAUACUGAAACCCUUGGAAUAUGGACUCCAAUAGAUCAAGAAACCUUCAGAUCAGGUUUAACUUGUGUAGCACCAAUAAAGGAUUCCUUCCACUGU
Long non-coding RNA from Gavialis gangeticus (Gharial), 1724 nucleotides. RefSeq lists it as uncharacterized. The transcript is spliced from 2 exons. The record is from RefSeq and is a predicted model, not a curated record. NCBI's taxonomy places the organism in Eukaryota, Metazoa, Chordata, Crocodylia, Gavialidae.